GACCUCGUAGCUCAGUUGGUAGAGCAUUGGACUAGCAAACCAAAGGUUGUGGGUUCGACUCCCGCCGCAGUCC
Molecule: transfer RNA, 73 nt
Filed under: Paramuricea clavata
Lineage: Eukaryota; Metazoa; Cnidaria; Anthozoa; Malacalcyonacea; Plexauridae
Rfam family: tRNA
About the family: Transfer RNA (tRNA) molecules are approximately 80 nucleotides in length. Their secondary structure includes four short double-helical elements and three loops (D, anti-codon, and T loops).
Source: Rfam by way of RNAcentral